This 1567-nucleotide long non-coding RNA is filed under the name Citrus x clementina. RNAcentral describes it as "Citrus clementina (C. clementina) long non-coding RNA (CCLE_LNC003232)". The record is from RNAcentral. Lineage: Eukaryota; Viridiplantae; Streptophyta; Magnoliopsida; Sapindales; Rutaceae.
UUUAUUAAAAUGUGAGUAGAUAUUUGCUUGUGUGAAUCCCAAAAUUAGAAAAAAGUCUAAUAAAUUAUGUAUUUCUAUGACUUGUAGAAGAAAAUCUGAUCGUGGGCGAUGGUUGCCAUCGCCUGCCCUUCUUGUGGGCUCAGUGCGGGCGAAGGCAUGCAUUGCCCGGUCAAUGGAAACCUUUGCUCGCACUUCUCGUGGGCGAUACCGGCCGGAAGUACGGGCGAAGGUUGAUUGCGGGCGAAGGCAUGCAUCGCCCAGUCAAUGGCACCCUUCGCCCCCACUUCUCGCGGGCGAUACCAGCAAGAAGCGCGGGCGAAGGUGGCGAUGGCUCCCAUCUCCCGCAACAUUUGCGAGCAAUGGCUCCCAGUGCCCGCCCAUGUUGUGGGCGAUGGGUGCCUAAACCCAACAUAAAUAAAAAAAUUUUAAAAAAUUUUUAAAAAAACUUAUGAAAUAAAUGUAAACUUCAUACUAGUAAGUAGCUUUGGUAUUAAAGAGUGGAUUACUAGGAACUAGUUUAGCAAAUUUAUUGAGAUAAAUGAAAUUUUUUUCUUAGAGACAUUUUAACGAACACAUAAUGUGCUUAUAUUUUACAAACAUUAAUUUUUAAAAAUAUUUGAAUUGUUCAUGCCAAUACAUAUCAUAAUGUGUUUUUCUAUCACUAAUAAUCCACCAAUCAAUUAAAACUUACUGUAAAAGUGUAAGGGAGGCAUACCUUUAGGUCGAAUCCUAAUGCUGUUGACAAUGUACAACCUUUUGCUGACGGAGGUUGUGCAAAUAGGGGCUGUGAUGGUGAGAUUGUGAUGAUGAGGCUGUAGAAAGAAAUUUCGAGAUAACGAGCGAUGAUGGGCGAUGCGUGAGUUAAGCGAUUUUGACAAUAGUCUUUGGAGAGAGGGUAAUUUAGUUCAUAAAAUGCGUGUGGUUAUUAUUGUAAGAAUUUUUAUUCUAUGACUAGUUUUAAUAUUGAGUUUUUGAAAGUGGCUAUACAAGAAAAUUUCCUUAAAAUUAUCGAUAAGACAUAAAUCUAAUGAUUCCUUUUUGUAGGCAAACAAAUGUCAUAUUCGAUUCUUGAUCACUUUCACCAAUACUUCUAUUGACUGUACAUGUCAUUGUAAGCACAUGCAGCUUCUUCCAUAACACUUCCAAUCAAAGUAAUUGUUUUUCAAAUACGUAUGCAAUGGCAAGCAUCUCUCUUUAAAAUAUAUAUCAAAGUCUACACCUAUUCAACUAUAUGAAAUAUAUUUCACUCUAAGAAGAUGAAUCCUCACAAAAUUGGCAAUAUCAUGAGCAUCAUUAUAGUCGUCGUCGUUGUUCACUUGUUCUUAUUAUUAUUAUUUAAAGAUAGUUAAUUUAUAUUUACGUUGUUGAAUAAUUAAUCAAUUCCAACAUUUGUAAUAUGAGCUUUUUUAAUCGGAGGCAGGUGGGAUGUGUAGAAAUUUAGGGAGAAGAAUUCUUUCGUUUCUUCAUUUUUUUUUUUUUAAAUAAGCAAGUUAGAUGCUUUAUAAAUUUCUAAUUCCUUCUUUUGUUCCUAACAUUAAACGGUCAACUUAAAAAACACGUUGAUGAA